GGACAUGUGGCCGAGUGGUUAUGGCGGUAGACUCAAGUUCUACUGGAGAGAUCCGCAUGGGUUCGAAUCCCAUCGUGUUCA
Molecule: transfer RNA, 81 nt
Filed under: Glarea lozoyensis 74030
Lineage: Eukaryota; Fungi; Ascomycota; Leotiomycetes; Helotiales; Helotiaceae
Also listed under: 1 other name
Description: tRNA-Leu (CAA) (tRNA-Leu-CAA-2-1)
Rfam family: tRNA
About the family: Transfer RNA (tRNA) molecules are approximately 80 nucleotides in length. Their secondary structure includes four short double-helical elements and three loops (D, anti-codon, and T loops). Further hydrogen bonds mediate the characteristic L-shaped molecular structure. tRNAs have two regions of fundamental functional importance: the anti-codon, which is responsible for specific mRNA codon recognition, and the 3' end, to which the tRNAs corresponding amino acid is attached (by aminoacyl-tRNA synthetases). tRNAs cope with the degeneracy of the genetic code in two manners: having more than one tRNA (with a specific anti-codon) for a particular amino acid; and 'wobble' base-pairing, i.e. permitting non-standard base-pairing at the 3rd anti-codon position.
Source: RNAcentral